CUUUGAAGGUUUAAAACCCUUGUUAAAGAACAGGGAGACACUGGAAAAGAAAACAGCACAGGAGAAGAAUCGAAAUCGAGUUCUGUCUCUUGCUGUGAGUUUGUCAGCAUGCCCUUCCCUUGUGGGCUGCUCUCUUUCCCGCUGGCAGCUCUUCCAGCGUGUGAGGGGCCCAGCUUCUGUGUUUUGCUUUGCUCUUUUGAAGAGGUGGAGAAAAACCUUUAUUACACCAGUGGGCUCAGAGGAGUUUGUACUCGGAGUCUGAGCCUGUGAUUAUUAUUUAGUUAUUUAUUUAUGUAUUUAGUUAUUUAUUUAUUGCAGUACUGGGGAUUGAACUCAGGACCUUGCGCUUGUGAGACAGGUGUGGCGCCACUGAGCUAAAUCCCCAGCCUAUUUUUUUUAUUUUUUGAGACAGGGUCUCACAAUGUAGCCCAGGCUGGCCUUGAACUCACAGUGCUCCUCCUGCCUCAGCCUCCUGAGAGCUGGGAUCACAGGCUGCACCAGCCCACUCAGCUUCAUGUAGCUCCUUGUCCGAGUCAGCUACCUGGAUCUGAGCUGUGCGGGCCAGACUGUUCUCUCCCCCAGCCAGCCUAGGUCAGAAAGCAAGCACAGCAGGUACUGAGAGGCUGAGGAACUGUGGCUGAGGGACUUGGAGCCCGGAAGCAGAAGCGGGAUGUUUUAAGUGUUUUUAAAUAGUGUUUAGUGCGAUUGCAUAGUUUUUCUACUGGCCUUUUGUGAUGGAAAUGAGAAUCACAAUGCUGCUGUACGUCAGCUUUGUUCUCUGGGGCACCCCUGGGACCCAUGCUGAGGUCAUAGCCAGGUCUGCAGUGGCAGCAGAGAAACCUGUGGCGCCUCGCUCAUGGUGCCCUGUGCAGGUCACAGGCACACAAAGCCAUGGGAGAGAGAAAGGGGUCCGGGACACACAGACGUCCCCCCAAAGCCUCGUGUGGUCGUAGCUUGCUGCUUUCUGCCUGCCAUGGACUGUUUCUCCUCUGUGACGCCCCUCUGCCCUGCCACUCUGCCUUGGAGCCAGCCGACUACAACUGAAACCUCUACAGACUCUGAGCUAAAUAAACCUCUCCUUCUUUAACUUUGGAUGCCGGGUAUUUUGUGUCAACAGCUAGAAAAGUGACUAAACAGGAGUGGUAUCAUCAUUCACAGUUGUGCUGCUGGUCCUUGAGUUUGCCUCUGGCAGAGACUCAAAACUCC
This 1206-nucleotide long non-coding RNA is filed under the name Heterocephalus glaber (naked mole-rat). Its description in RNAcentral is "lncRNA (ENSHGLG00000044908.1)". Lineage: Eukaryota; Metazoa; Chordata; Mammalia; Rodentia; Bathyergidae. The record is from RNAcentral.